CCCCCCGUCCCGGGUCUGCACGGGGAUCCGCGGAGACGCGAGUGCCCCCCGGCCGCGGGGAGAACAAGGAGGAAAAACGAGAUCAAAUGGUGCGGAGGAAUUUAGAGGGUCUUCGCCCGGCACUUUGAAAAUGCAAAUCCCCAGGUCUUAAAUAUGAUUGUUAUUCAAUUCCAUUUUCUGCUGAUAAAGAUGCGGAAAAAGGAAAAAUCGCCUCUCAGGGUACAAAUGCGAAGCGUGUAAAAGUCGCCUCUGAGGAUGCAGAUGCGAAGCGCGGUCCCCAGGGCUGCUAGCGCGGGCGUCUUGAUUUGACAUCGGGAUUUUGGGGAGCCGGGGCAAAUGGAGAGAAGAUCCUUUAUAAAACGCCUUUGUGUUUAACGUCUUCGAUAAAAUACUUAGAAAUGCCCUUGUAAAUCGGUGAAGCCGAAUGGGAGCAGCUCUCCUGGGCUAGCUCAAGUCGCAGUUUUUCAUCCCUCGUGUGAUCUAAGCAGGGACAUAAUAACUGGAGAAUUCUUCCCAUUAUAUUUCGUUUUAAAGUGAGCAAACAGACAGUUUGGGAAUGCAGAAUCGCUUAAAGUGAGCGUGAUGAAGAAGUAUGAUUUUGGGUCUCCUUUAAUCAUAAGAAGAGAAUUUUUUUGCGGUGUUUUUUUUUUUCUUUCUGUCACUGUUGCUGCUACUGAUUUUUUUUUUUUGCAUCUUUUUGGGGAAGAGCUCGCUGUGUGCGUGUGUGUUUGGAGUCACAGCAGCAGGAGGAAUUUUUACAUUUUAUUUUGCAAGGUGUCUGUUUCCUUCUGUCCUUCCUUGCCUAUAAACAUUUAUUAUUUUUAACUGUUUUGCAUCCCUUUGGAGAGGGGUCAUAUCAAAAAUGCUAUUUAGUAGGCUAAACAGAAAGCUGGCACCUGAAAGAAGAAGUUUAUAAGGAAAUCAUAGCUAAUAAGGGCACCUAAAAGACAAGAAGCAGGUAGAUUUUAAAAGAAACUUUCUUUCGCGUUUGAAGAGCUAAGCUGGAAAUUUUAUUCUCUAAAAUUACAACAAGUCCGUGUUUAUCCGUUUGCUCAAAAAGCCUGUGAUCGUCCCGGUGGGGAGAGGAACAGUUAGUGGUAUCAGCCGUAUCGCUCGAAAUUGCGAUUUUUGCUUCGGGGACGUGAUGCAUUUGGGAAAAGGCAGAGCCAUCUAGAGGCACAGCCCGGCUAUUACGAGGCCGUGCGAAAGGCUGUUUCCCUCCAAGGCAGGGUAUGUUGCCUCCAGUUUUCUUCGGUUGAUUCCUCUACCUCCAACAAAGGAAACAGAGAGGCCUGGGAGAUGUUUGCCUUCGAGAAAUGCGAGAAGAAGCCAGCGAGCGAGGUGCUGAAACUCAAAAGCGAAAUUGGUUUCGAGGUCACUGGGACGUUCAUUAACACCGGCGUUACUAGCCGCGGCAGCGAGGUCUGCGGUAGGAGAUCCCAUGGCACCUUGGAGUCAGGGCUGAACUGUAUCCCCAGCCAGCUCUGUGAUUACCCGCGAACCUCUCCAGCUUCCUUUGAAGGUGUUUCAAGACCAGUUGAGGGGAAGCGCCGCAGGAGAGCGAGGUCUUAACCGUCCUUGGGUUGUACUAGCGAUACCGUUUGCUUUGGUGCUGUGCUGGUCCUUGUUGUCCAUGCGGUAGGCACUUUUCUCGCUGGGAGGAAGACGUCUUUGCCUCUAAGGCCUUGCUCCUCUGAACAUGUAGGUACAAGCUUAACUUUACUGUGUGAAUCUCAGGUGUGUACAGUUGAACACCAAAACCUGAAAAUGCUUCAGACCUGAGCGCUCAGCCUUGCAGCGGGAAUGAACACCUCCACCUACCUGGGUCUCCCUCCAUUUCCUGAAAAUGCUGAGAUCUAGCCAUAGGGAUCAUGUUGGAGGAUCGGGACCCAAUAGCUCAUGUUGGCUGCUAUUGGCUCUACCAGUAGGAUAUAGACCAGAAUCCCUUCGAUGGCUCCGAAUUGCUACAGUGAAGCUGGAACCACAGGUUUGGUUUGUUUUGGCUGCAUUUGCAAUGUAAGUCUCGCUUUCUCCCCAGGGCUGACAAGAGGCAAGGCAGUAACUCUGCGGCCCGCAUACAAAAGAAUUCUUCAUGUGCGGAUUGUGUCUUUCUCCAGAGUCAUCAACAAAAUUGGGAGUGAAUUCUUCAUCCUCCAAGACAAUUUGGGAGAAUUAUCUUUUUCCUAGCAGUGGUCCAGGACCUUUGCUCUACCUUCAUUCUUCAAGAAUAUCCGCAAGGAACUGACCAAGAAGAGCUCAAAUUAAAUUUAAACUCAUGAUCUUAAAUUGGAGCUUGCCACUCACUUAUUCACAGCUAAGCCUGUUCCUUCCUAGACUAGGUAAUUUAUGCCCAUUAAUCUGCUCUAAGAAAUUCUCUUUUUCACUCACUCUCUGAUUUUUUCUGUCAAUAGGUAACACAGAAUAUAUGAUAGUGUGCAAGAGAUGUUUCCCUGACGUGAUUUCGAGAAGGGUGUUCUGUGUACGUGUAUACAGGUUGAACUAAUUUUUAUCCUUUAAGGAAAAUAAUAUAUAUUCCUCCCACCUUGUAUCUAGUCAUCUAUUGGACUGAAGUGCUGGCAAUCAAAUUUUGCCAAAUUACCUUAUGAUAAGAUCAGAGGUUUUCAACCUUUCUUGAUUUUUCAGACCCUACAACGUUUGCGGGGGAGGUGUCCUCGUUGCACGAUUUUCAGCCUGCUGACAACAGUCUCGGUUCGGUUUUGUUUCUAGUUGCUGUUCAUGGUCUCCCUAAAAGCACUGGAGGCUGUAGACUGAAAACUGCUGAGAUGGUUGGCAUUUUGGAAUAGCAAGUAUUUUCCUGUUGCAUUUCUAUGGUGCUGAGUGUGACGGAGCCUGUGGACUCUGCCACAAGACAAGGAAUAAGUCAUUACAGUUUAUUGCAAGCUGCAGUUAUACAAGCGCUUUAAGCUGUCCUAAGCGAACGCCCUUGCUGAAAGAAGCAUUUCUGCUCUCUGUCCACUCCUGGCUGCUUUUUCUGGCUGCUGUGCUCACACAAGUGUUCGUGUGGGAGAGUGGAGCUGCAUCUUCUGGAGCUGCUUGGGAGCAUGUGUGGUACCGAAGCCCUGGGGUGAACCCUCCCUGGCCCCAGGCUGAGCACAGGCCCUACCUUUCUCCCUCUCCCCUGACUUUCUUCUCCCAGUGCAGUUAGUGGGUGACUUUCAGAUUCAAAUCAGGCUCCUGCCUAGUUUCUCCCUGAAUGGGAGCUUGUUAGCAACUGAUUAGCCCCAGUUUUGAUAAAAGCUUCAUUGUUUUGUAACCUUUGUGGGCUCCUGCUAGCUGUGCUCCUAAUAAAAGUGGGAUUAAAUAGACACCUUGGGAGGGAGGCCGCUGCAAGUGGGAAUCUCUGAGUUUUGGGGGACAAGGGAUGGUUUAAGCAGCUCUGCGUGUCAGAGUUGAUUUUACCGAACUGGGGAAGAAGCCUGAUUUUCGGAUUGCG
Molecule: long non-coding RNA, 3454 nt
Organism: Dromaius novaehollandiae (emu)
Lineage: Eukaryota; Metazoa; Chordata; Aves; Casuariiformes; Dromaiidae
Exons: 3
Source: RefSeq, a predicted model, not a curated record